UUGAGGUCACUCUAAUUACUCGUCUGUAUGCAAGAAAUAGUCUUCUGAAAGAACCGUUUCCACCCCUUCUUUAAUUAUGAUUUGUUUUCUGUCACUGAAAGGAUUAAACCGAAUGUGCCAAAUCAAAGUAGCGAUAUUAGCACUUUGGAGUGCAUUGAGCCAGUUCUUAAGUAAAAUAUUAAAUCACUCCUCCUGAGAGCUAGGAACAGAAUUGUCCUUGAAAAAUGGAGAUACAAUAUCAGUCAUUAUUGAAUCUGGUCAACCCAUGUGUUUUCUUCGCAUUGAGUUAAAUUGGUGUAUGGGACACAGGCUGAAGGCACCCAAUGCUACAGCAGACUGAAAGGUUAUAUAAUCAAUCAACAGGUCAUUGGAAAAGAAUGAACUUUGGAGAAGCUCAGAGGAAGAAAAUCACGUCUUUGGAAACCAGAAGACACCUGAAGAGUUUUAACAGAGAAUAAAUGGUAGUAGCUGGGACUUAAAGCAUAUAUUUAUAAGAAAAACUAAGAGUAUUAUUGGUAGAGAUUUCAAAAGAUGGCAUUGUAAGGGAGAAAAGAAAAAACAGGGCAGAAUAUCAAAAGAGUUGAAAGCAUGCAUGUGUGAAUAUUUGGUAGAAAUAGAAGGUUCAUAAAAUGUAGAGAUGAAAUUUACAGGGAAGAUUGGAGUAAGGUUACUCAUUCAAGUAACCUUGAAUGAGUAUUUUAAAAUCUGGCGUUUCCUUCUCUAGGUAAGAGAGAACCAUUGAAUUUCUGAAGAUUGUGAAUUUAGAAGUCUAAUCUAAAACAUGUUCAGAAUUGACUUGGGUUGAAGAAGACUAAAGAAUGCAAAAACAUUUAGUAAUACAGGUACAAUAGCUAAUUCCUUCUUUUCACACUGUGAGACUCACACCACAGGGGUUCUCAAAAAUAAUUAAUUCAAAGACUUGUGUCUGAGCAUCUGAAGGAAUAAAAGUAACAUUUAUUGUUAUGGAAAUACAGAGGGAAGCAAUGUGUACAUGCUAGGGGAAACAAAAGUUCAUUUUUAGACCUGAACAAUUUAAGUUAUUUAUUUUACUUCCAAGUGGAAUUGUUGAAUAGGUGCUUGUACAAAAGAACAUUGAGUUCAGAGAAGCAGGAUGGACAGAAAUAUACACUUUUGAAUCAUCCUCAGGCAGAUGGAUACUUAUGACCAUCAGGCUGAGUGAGAUCACUUAUUAAAUGAAUGCAGACACAGAAAUAAAGAUUGAUGAGAAGUGAACCCUGGGACACUCAAACAUUUAGAGGUUGAGAUGGAAAGGAAAGUUGUCCAAUAAAUCUGAGAAUGACGUGCUUGCGAAUUAGGAGACACAAGAGAUGUUCCAGAAGCGAAGGUGUAGACAUUUUUCAGGAAGCAUAAAUUGAACAACUACGUCAAAUGACACAGACUAACCAAGAUGUAAACUUUAAAAUUGUUAUAAAUUUUUCAGUGCCUAUAUAACUUAUGACUUUAUUGAUGCUGGUUUUGGGGGUGAAGUCAGGGGCCAAAACCUGAUUAGAAGGUUUCAACUUAUAAUGAGAGAAAAUAAAUUAGAUACAGAAGAUGCAGAGAACUCUUGAGCAGUUUCACUGUAAUGAGGAGUAGUAAAAUGAAACAGUUAAAUAUGGUUUAAAGAGGAACAUGUAUGUUUAAAUGUACAGUGGUAUGUUGAUGUGCUGAUGAAAAUUAUCCAGUAGAGACGGACAGAAAAAAAUGAUGAUGAACAAAAGAAAGAAUAUAACUGCAAAAAAAACUGGACCUUUAUAAUGUGUGAGUAGAUUCAAGAAAGGGAAAGAUGUUAGACCUAGAUUAAAGCAAGAAUAGUUUAUACAUUAUAACAUGAUGGAAAACAAAAUUUUUGGUACAGAAGAAUGUAUUUUGGCAGAUUUCUUAGGAGGCAUAUGUAGAAGUUUUCUUCUACAUGCUUCUAUUUUCUCAGUAAAACAAAAAUCAUUGUGGGUACUUAGAUUGAGGAAGAGGAGAGAUUGUUGAACUUUAGAGAGAGAUGAGAUGCAGUCACUUCGGUGAUUGAGAGAAUGAACUGAAUACAAAAAAGUAUUUAAUUACUUGGGAGCAUUGAGAUCACUCUUAAAUUUUGUUGAAAAUUAAAUCAGCAGCAAGUAUCAUUUCUCUUGCAAAAUUUUUCUCUGCUUCAAGUAUAGGCUGAGAAUAGAUAGAUUGAGCCAUGACUAGAAUUUUACCAGAUGAACACCAUGGUGGGAAGUGGAGUAACAAUGGUGAGGGCACAUGUAAGGGAUAACAGAACAUGGAAGCUAAGUGAAGAAAAAGGAAGACUGAGAGCAUGAGAAGGGUAAUAAUCAGUUGAACACAAGAGGUGCUCAUCCGUUAUAGAUGUCAUCAGAGUCAAUGCAUCGCUGGAUUGGGAUAACACAGGGAGUAAAAUGGAGAGAUAUGAGCUGGUGGUCAAGAAGAGGGAUGUUUGACAUUGAGCAUUGUACAGUUAUUGCUAACUGAAAAAGCAUACAAUUUGGGGCCAGGCCCGGUGGCUCAUGCCUGUAAUCCCAGCACUUUGGAAGGCUGAGGUGGGCAGAUCACCUAAGGUCAGGAGUUCAAGACCAGUCUAGCCAAUAUGGAAAUCCCCUGUCACCACAAAAAUUACAAAAAAAAAUUAGCUAGGCAUGGUAGUGGGUGCCUGUAAUCUCAGCUACUCAGAAGGCUGAGGCAGGAGAAUCCCUUGAGCCCAGGGGGCAGAGGUUGCAGUGAGCCGAGAUUGCAGCACUUUACUCCAGCCUGGGUGAAAGGGUGAGACUGUGUCUCAAAAAAAAAAAAAAAAAAAAAAAAGAAAGAAAGAAAGAAAAAGAACAAAAGCAUACAAUUUGGGAGUUGAAGAGUUGAAAGAGGGUGCGCGACAAGAUCAUGAAGAGAAAGGAAUUCAAGACUGAGAGUCCAAUAUGUUGCUUGGUUUAUCUGUGUGGAUAUCUAAUUUUUAUGUUAGAAAUAAUAAUGAAGAGAUGGUCGUAAUCCAGGUGCUGAUAUCUUCAAUGACUGAAGAAAAGUGAUCAAGAUAAUGGUAGAUUAUUUUAAAAACAGAGAUAAUGGAUGUGUGGUUUAUAUCAUGGGCUUCAAAUGCCAUAAGAGGGAGAAAGGGAGGGAAAGUGGCUUGUAAUUGGCAAUAUGGAGGUAGGUAGCCUGACAUUACAUUUUGGCCAGGGGUGCUUUUACAUGGGCAAAAAUAAAUUGACUCCUCCAAGAACAUAGCAGAAGCAGCAGUUUACUCAGGUGAUAGCCAUAUUCACUUAAGGCAAGAGAAUAUAGAAGUCACUCAGGAAAAAUUUCGAGUCAAUGGGGCCUAUUGAAAAUAUCUCACCAGAAAAACCAGAUGGCACAAUGGAAUUUCCAAGGAGAAGGAGGGAGAGAUUUCGACUUUAUUAGGAUAGAUCCAGUCUAAUGAACAUGAGAAUUUGAUUGUGACUGAAGCAACUGAAGGAAGAUGUGAUAGGCAGAAGAAUGGCCUCCCCAAAAUAUUUACCCUCUAUCCCUUGGAACUUGUGAAUGCUAUACAGCAUUGACAAAGGGAUUUCAUACUAAGGUUACAAACUGUAAGAUAAACAGACUAUCCUGGAUUAUCUGGGUGGAUCCAGCCUCAUCACAUGAGUCUUUAGAAACCGAGAACUUGACCAGUCUGGGCAAUAUGGUGAGACCCUGUCUCUACUAAAAUACAAAAAAUUAGCCGGGCGUGGCGGCAUGCGCCUGUUUUCCCAGCUACUCGAGAGGCUGAGGCAGGGGAAUUGCUUGAAUCCGGGAGGCGGAGGGUUGCAGUGAGCCGAGAUCGCGUCACUGCACUCCAGCCUGGGUGACAGAGUGAGACUCCGUCUCAAAAAAACAGAACAAAACAAAAAACCCCUAAAACUUUCUGUGGCGGCAAGCAUAACAGAAAUGCAGAGGGAGAGGCGGGGUGGAUGAGGUCAGAGAGAUUUGACUUCUCAUUCCAUUGCUGGCUUUGAGUCUGGAUGAAGUGGUUUAUAAGCCAAGGAAUAUGAGUGGUUUCAGAACCUGAGAACAAUGUCCCUCUGACAGACAAGGGAAUCUCCCUGCUAUGGCUGGGUGGAACACAAUUCUGCCAACAUUAAUAAGCAUGGAAGUGGAUUAUCCCCCUGAGUUCCACAUAAGAAUCCGGGCCAGCUGACACCUUGGAUUACUCUUAAAAUUAGUAUCCUAAAUGAAAGAGGCAAGACAAAAAAAAAAAACUAAGAAACAAUAAUUCUAUAAAAUCAAACUAGUCUAUAGUGAAAGAAAGCAGAUUAGUGGUUCUUUAAAAAUCGAGGUGGAGGAAAUGGUAGAUUAUAAAGGGUAUAGGGGAACAUUUAGGAGUGAUGGAAAUGUCUGUUAUCUUGAUUGUGGUUAACAAUUUUAUAAAUAGACAUAUGUCAAAUCUUACCAAAUUAUAUAUAUUAAAGUAUGAAGUUGGCUGUACAGCAGGUCCUCAAAAAAACAUGUUGUUCAACGUUGUUUCCUUAUAAGGUUGAUGAAAAAAAGAGUUGAUUCUUGUUCAGGGCCACCACCUGUGUGGAGUUUGCACCUUCUCUUGUCUGCGUGGGUUUUCUCCAGGUACUCAGAUUUCUUCACACAUUCCAAAGCUGUGUGCAUGAGGUGAAUGGGCACAUCUACAUGUCCCAGUCUGAGUGAGUGUGUGGGUGUGUGUGGAUGCAUCCUAUGAUGAGAAGGCAUCCUGUCCCCAGCCGGUUCCCACCUGGUUCCCUGAACUGCCAAUAUAGGCUCAGGCUAACUGCCACCCUGAACUGGAAUAAGUGAGUUGGAAAAUGAAUAAAUGAAUGAAUACAAAUGAUUGUCAAAUACAAAUUCAUCAAGUCUAUGGUAAUCAUAAAAAUGUGUGACAAUAAACAAUGCAUCAGGAAAGCGCUCAGCAAGCCCACCCUAUUUGUGAUUGCUUUUAACUGUGGUGGUAGGAGUUGCUUCUGAUGAUCCGUGAUUGCAAACAUUUAUUCCUCCAUUUAACCCACUACACUACAACCGCCCUCACUCACUAGUUCAUAAAAAAUUGAGCAAAUCAUUGUCUUAUUCAUUUUGAUUCAUCUGUCUUAAAUAUAGGUAUAGCCCAUAUUUCUUUCAACAUUUAAUAUUAGGAGGGUUUGGAGUUUUAUUCUAUGUUGUUUGGCUGAAAUCCACAGUUUCCAAGAAACUAUGGGCAAUGUUUAGUGAGAAUGUAACUAUUCUUCAAGUGGAACUCCAUGAAUUGGUUAAAAUAAAACAAAUAAUCCAAGUCAAUGCUGCUUUAUCCCCUAUCCACAGCAAAUAAGAAAAAUAUACACAGACUUUUAGCGACAUGACAAGGUCAGAUUGAUGGAGACAGUACUUCAAAUAUUUUCUAGGUAUUCAGAAACUGUAGAAGAGUUGUGGCACUGCCAUGGUGACCUGAGUCAGGGGGCUACAUGCAGUGUAGCAAUCAUGACACUUAGCACAAAUAAUAGUCCUAACCACUCCAGUUCAUGCUUUCAGCCAAAGAGAAAAAUUCCUCUUGAUGCACUUUAUUAAAAGAUCAAUAUUAACAUUCUUAAAAGAAAUUAUCAUAUUAAGUAAGCAGUCAAGACAGGUGAAACUUUGUUCAUAUAAAGUGAAUUUAGUCUGAGACCUCAGGGUGCUUCUCUUUCAUUUGAAGAACAUACAAGGAGAAAUGAGAUUCAAGUGAAAGUAAAGAUGUUAAGAGAUGCCAACAGUUAAAAAAAAAAAAAAAAGAGAGAGAUUGAAGGUGAGCAUCAUAAAACAUUGCUAAUAAAGAGAAUUGUAGAUUAUAUAUGAAUUUUAUAUUUUUAUAAUGGGUCCUAAUAUCUGAUUCAUGUCAUGAAAUAAAAAAUGUUUUAAUCUCUAGUCAUUUCAAGUUAGAAAUCCUAGCCUUAAUUAGAAUACAAUUAAAAACAUAUUAUCUAUGAAUUGUUCUUGAACAUUUGUAGAUUCUCAGAAGGGCAAGGGUUUGAUUGGUAUAAAUAUUUCUUAAAGAUCCUUGAUCAUAAAAAUCACCUGGGGUGUUUGUUUAAUAUCUAGAUUCCCAGAUUCCUUUCAUGGGUAUUAUGGGAAUAGCACUGGUACUGGUAAUCCAGGAUCAACUUCGCAGGUGAUCUAGUGCUAAGCAAACUUCAGAGACACUGAACUAAGGCAAGAGAAGCUGACUUUGUUCCCAGGUUACUGUUAGGGUGAAAUAACUCUAGGCAUUUAUGAUAGUGAAAAUGUACAUUCUUGAAGUUCAGUGCCAUUUGCCUCAGGUAUCUAACAGAAAAUUAAAUUAAAAACCAGUAGUUUUAAUAACUGAAUAACAGAAAGAAAACUCGGCCAACUUUCUUUGUAGAAUGCUAUGAUAGACAGACUAUCACAUUUAGAGUUAUAUAUCUAAGUUAGAAUCCAAAUUCUGUAGAUUGGUGUGUGAAUUUGAUGAGAAAUUAAACUCACCAAACACAGAGUACUCACUUGUUUUAUAUUAUAGGUAUUAUA
This 6456-nucleotide long non-coding RNA is filed under the name Homo sapiens (human). RNAcentral's name for it is "HSALNT0135253". The record is from RNAcentral. Lineage: Eukaryota; Metazoa; Chordata; Mammalia; Primates; Hominidae.